This 843-nucleotide ribosomal RNA is filed under the name Pseudorhizina aff. californica. RNAcentral describes it as "LSU rRNA". It matches the Rfam family "Eukaryotic large subunit ribosomal RNA", at positions 78 to 933 of the family's 3401-position model. The record is from RNAcentral. Lineage: Eukaryota; Fungi; Ascomycota; Pezizomycetes; Pezizales; Discinaceae.
CCUCAGUAACGGCGAGUGAAGCGGCAACAGCUCAAAUUUUAAAGCUGCCKCCUUCGGCGCACGCGUUGUAAUUUGGAGAGGCAUCUUCGGUUCGGGCGCCGGCCUAUGUUCCUUGGAACAGGACGUCACAGAGGGUGAGAAUCCCGUGCCUGGCUGGCUGUCCCGACCCAUGUGAAGCGCCUUCGACGAGUCGAGUUGUUUGGGAAUGCAGCUCAAAAUGGGUGGUAAAUUUCAUCUAAAGCUAAAUAUUGGCGGGAGACCGAUAGCGCACAAGUAGAGUGAUCGAAAGAUGAAAAGCACUUUGAAAAUAGAGUUAAAAAGUACGUGAAAUUGUUGAAAGGGAAGCGCUUGAGACCAGACUCGGCUGGGGAUGAUCAGCGGCCCUUCUGGGCCGUGCACUUGUCCCCGGUCGGGCCAGCAUCGGUUGAGGCGGUGGGAUAAAGGCCCGGGGAAUGUGGCUCCUCUCGGGGAGUGUUAUAGCCCCGGACGCAAUGCCGCCAGCCUUGACCGAGGGCCGCGCACUUUGUGCUAGGAUGCUGGCGUAAUGGUCUUCAGCGACCCGUCUUGAAACACGGACCAAGGAGUCUAACAUCUAUGCGAGUGUUUGGGUGUCAAACCCUUGCGCGGAAUGAAAGUGAACGGAGGUGGGAACCCCCUCGCGGGGCGCACCAUCGACCGGUCCUGAUGUCUUCGGAUGGAUCUGAGUAGGAGCAUAGCUGUUGGGACCCGAAAGAUGGUGAACUAUGCCUGAAUAGGGUGAAGCCAGAGGAAACUCUGGUGGAGGCUCGCAGCGGUUCUGACGUGCAAAUCGAUCGUCAAAUUUGGGUAUAGGGCGAAAGACUA